GGCCAGACUCCUACGGGAGGCAGCAGUGAGGAAUAUUGGUCAAUGGCCGCAGGGCUGAACCAGCCAAGUCGCGUGAGGGAUGACGGUCCUAUGGAUUGUAAACCUCUUUUGUCAGGGAGCAAAGGGCGCCACGUGUGGCGCUUUGCGAGUACCUGAAGAAAAAGCAUCGGCUAACUCCGUGCCAGCAGCCGCGGUAAUACGUAGGGAGCAAGCGUUGUCCGGAUUUACUGGGUGUAAAGGGAGCGUAGACGGCACUGCAAGUCCGGAGUGAAAGCCCAAGGCUUAACCAUGGGACUGCUCUGGAAACUGUGGAGCUUGAGUGCGGGAGGGGCAGGCGGAAUUCCUAGUGUAGCGGUGAAAUGCGUAGAUAUUAGGAGGAACACCGGCGGCGAAGGCGGCCUGCUGGACCGUAACUGACGUUGAGGCUCGAAAGCGUGGGGAGCAAACAGGAUUAGAUACCCGUGUA
Molecule: ribosomal RNA, 466 nt
Filed under: uncultured bacterium
Lineage: Bacteria
Description: bacterial SSU rRNA
Rfam family: Bacterial small subunit ribosomal RNA
Source: RNAcentral